RNAcentral lists this ribosomal RNA (909 nucleotides) under Camarosporidiella celtidis. Its description in RNAcentral is "partial large subunit ribosomal RNA". It matches the Rfam family "Eukaryotic large subunit ribosomal RNA", at positions 36 to 961 of the family's 3401-position model. Lineage: Eukaryota; Fungi; Ascomycota; Dothideomycetes; Pleosporales. The record is from RNAcentral.
UAGCAUAUCAAUAAGCGGAGGAAAGGAAACCAACAGGGAUUGCCCUAGUAACGGCGAGUGAAGCGGCAACAGCUCAAAUUUGAAAUCUGGCUCUUUCAGAGUCCGAGUUGUAAUUUGCAGAGGGCGCUUUGGCGUUGGCAGCGGUCCAAGUUCCUUGGAACAGGACGUCACAGAGGGUGAGAAUCCCGUACGUGGUCGCUGGCCUUCGCCGUGUAAAGCCCCUUCGACGAGUCGAGUUGUUUGGGAAUGCAGCUCUAAAUGGGAGGUAAAUUUCUUCUAAAGCUAAAUACUGGCCAGAGACCGAUAGCGCACAAGUAGAGUGAUCGAAAGAUGAAAAGCACUUUGGAAAGAGAGUCAAAUAGCACGUGAAAUUGUUGAAAGGGAAGCGCUUGCAGCCAGACUUGCCUGUAGUUGCUCAUCCGGGCUUUUGCCCGGUGCACUCUUCUGCGGGCAGGCCAGCAUCAGUUUGGGCGGUUGGAUAAAGGUCUCUGUCAUGUACCUCUCUUCGGGGAGGCCUUAUAGGGGAGACGUCAUGCAACCAGCCUGGACUGAGGUCCGCGCAUUUAUGCUAGGAUGCUGGCGUAAUGGCUGUAAGCGGCCCGUCUUGAAACACGGACCAAGGAGUCUAACAUCUAUGCGAGUGUUUGGGUGUCAAGCCCGAACGCGUAAUGAAAGUGAACGGAGGUGGGACCCCAUUAGGGUGCACCAUCGACCGAUCCUGAUGUCUUCGGAUGGAUUUGAGUAAGAGCAUGGCUGUUGGGACCCGAAAGAUGGUGAACUAUGCUUGAAUAGGGUGAAGCCAGAGGAAACUCUGGUGGAGGCUCGCAGCGGUUCUGACGUGCAAAUCGAUCGUCAAAUUUGGGCAUAGGGGCGAAAGACUAAUCGAACUAUCUAGUAGCUGGUCUGCGU